This 439-nucleotide ribosomal RNA is filed under the name uncultured bacterium. RNAcentral's name for it is "partial 16S ribosomal RNA". It matches the Rfam family "Bacterial small subunit ribosomal RNA", at positions 339 to 795 of the family's 1533-position model. The record is from RNAcentral.
CUACGGGCGGCAGCAGUGGGGAAUAUUGGACAAUGGGCGCAAGCCUGAUCCAGCAAUGCCGCGUGAGUGAAGACGGCCUUAGGGUUGUAAAACUCUUUCGCUAGGGAAGAUAAUGACUGUACCUAGUAAAGAAGUCCCGGCUAACUCCGUGCCAGCAGCCGCGGUAAUACGGAGGGGACUAGCGUUGUUCGGAAUUACUGGGCGUAAAGAGUUCGUAGGCGGACUGACAAGUUAGAGGUGAAAUCCCAGGGCUCAACCCUGGAACUGCCUUUAAAACUGUCAGUCUAGAGACCGGAAGAGGUUAGGCGAAGACCUAGUGUAGAGGUGAAAUUCGUAGAUAUUAGGUGGAACACCAGUGGCGAAGGCGCCUAACUGGUCCGGUACUGACGCUGAGGAACGAAAGCGUCGGGAGCAAACACGAUUAGAUACCCCAGUAGUC